CACAAAAUUACCAGGUAGUGUAGUACUGAGUCAAGUACCAGGUAGUGUAGUAAUGAGCCUCUGAUGUUUACAGACAGACUUGUACUCUACUUCCCUGCCAGACACAGUCAGUCCACUGGAACAGUUACAGGCACACUUAACUGCAGAAAUCUCCUCCAUCUGUUCAGUGUUUUAGUUGAGACCUGAUGGAGAACAUUGGAGAUGCUCUUUGAUCAUUACAUUAGAAGAUGCCUUACUACUCUUUGAUAAUUCUGGAAUAUAGCUUUGAGACCUUAAAAUGUCAAAUUGCAAUUUAACCAUACCUCACCAAUGUGAUCUCACCCAAAUAUAUCCUACUGCUGUGUUUCUAUGGUGUUUGUUACUUAGGCAACCCGUAAUGACCAGGGAGGAGCUCUAUGGUGAUCUGCAGAACCUGUUGGAAUCAGUCUGUGACCUGACAGAGAUGGAGCCAACCACCUCAUUGUGCUCAACAAUGACAGCCAUGAGAACCUGAGUGCCUUCCUGGGGCCUGCUCUACACCGAGCGACGACAGUGGCAACAAGCCAUGUCUGACUUUGAAGCGGGAUCAAACUCGACAGGUCUGUAGCACUGGCCCAUGUGAACCUGGUUUUGAUGUACAGUUUAUGCUGAAGAUCAGGGUGGGAAAUUAACCAUAGUGGUUGGUGGAUACCCACA
Coregonus clupeaformis (lake whitefish) is the source of this 675-nucleotide long non-coding RNA. RefSeq lists it as uncharacterized. NCBI's taxonomy places the organism in Eukaryota, Metazoa, Chordata, Actinopteri, Salmoniformes, Salmonidae. The record is from RefSeq and is a predicted model, not a curated record. The transcript is spliced from 3 exons.